This 497-nucleotide long non-coding RNA is filed under the name Homo sapiens (human). RNAcentral's name for it is "HSALNT0140649". Lineage: Eukaryota; Metazoa; Chordata; Mammalia; Primates; Hominidae. The record is from RNAcentral.
GCGGAGUCUGCGCUGAGUGAAGAGGUGCCAGAAUCCGCGAAGAGGGUCGACGAAUGCGCUGCCGCGGAGGGCCGUGGAAGAACUUGCCGAUGGAGGGACCACAGAGGGAUCUAUGGGAGAACAACGGCAACUGCAGGAGAGUGGGCCAAAUAAUCAUGGCAACAGGACUUUUAGAAGCACGUCCUCUGAAAGCCAUUUUCUGCCUGUGGUUGGAAAGGGACUGUGAGUCUUUCCUCAGGAAGUCAGUAGCCCUACCUGGUGAGGUGAUCAAGAGUUUGCUAGCACAAGAGAUGAAGGUAUACAGUUCAAUGAACUUUGACAAAUUUAAGUGAAGCAGUUGCCAUCACAAUCAAGAUACAUACAUACAGAAAAUUUCCAUAAUCUCAAAAGUUUCCUUCAAGUUCCUUUGUAGAUAAUCCCAUCUCCCUUCCCUAGAAACCAUUGGUAUGAUUUAUUUUCAUCUAGUUUUGCUUUUUCUAUAAUGUCAUAUAAAUAAA